This 2819-nucleotide long non-coding RNA is filed under the name Cricetulus griseus (Chinese hamster). RNAcentral describes it as "lncRNA (ENSCGRG00015031710.1)". The record is from RNAcentral. Lineage: Eukaryota; Metazoa; Chordata; Mammalia; Rodentia; Cricetidae.
UGUGUGUGUGUGUGUGUGUGUGUGUGUGUGUGUGUGUGUGUGUGUGUGUUUUCAAACUGCCUGCCCAAACCUUCCAGUAUUUUCCAUGGACUUACUGCAGAAAAUAACGCCAGCCUCCAGCUGAACAGGAUGUGAAAACUCUCCCUCUCAGACUGGAGACAGCCUCCCUCCCAGGCUGAAGCUCAGGCUGUUGGCCUCUUUUACUCGGCCCUGUGUGAUUUGCGUAAAUUGUGUUAGCAGCCAGAUAUCAAGAGCAAACACUGGCCUGUCUUCUUCCUGUGUCAGUGACUUACUCCUUUAUCCCGGGGAAGCUGGCACUGCACCACAGUGGGAGCUGGUCUCUUCCCCUUGCUAAUUGGCUCACUGUGGGUAAACACAGCUGAGCAUCUUCUGUCCUUACUCAGCCUUUUUUUUUUUUUUUUCUUUAACCAUUCCAAGAUUAGGGUCCAACUGCCCGUGCUUAGUGGUUCAUUGGAGACCACGGAGAAUAGGGUGGGAGCUGCAAAUAUGGAACCUCUGUGGACUUUUAGAGCUAGACAGAAAUUAUGAUUCUAGAAUAUUAUACAACUUCAGUAUUUCUGAAAACUCCUACAGGUGAAAUGUCAAGGUUUUUCUUUGGAAUAUUCAUGGAAAUAGCUCUUAUUUGAGUGAAAACACGAACAUGUACACACCCACACACUUGCACACAAGCAUGCACACUCACACUCUUUCCUACAGAAAUGUGGAUGGCUUAUUUGGAAAUGAAGAAGGAGGUCAGGAGGGGCUGUUGCUUUCUUUAUGAUACAGGUGUGUGUGUGUGUGUGUGUGUGUGUGAUUAAGGAUAUUGUGUUUUUGCCAUUUCACACUUGUAUACAACACACUAGGAUUCCAGUCACUUCCCACUACCAUCUAUCUUCCCUCUCCCACUCUAGUCCACUCCUUUCUCUUUCUUGCACUCCCUACUUUAAUGUCUCCAUGUUUGUGAUAAUUCUGGUGGAGAUAGGGUGAUGCCAAUCACUGGAAAGUGUAGUGUAUACAAUGAAGUAUGGGACAUAAUACUGUCUCAGAGCAAUAAACAUGUGCCAGCAUACACAUUUACCAUCUUUUAUAGUUAUUUUCAUCAUAAAACAGUCAGAAGACAGCAGUGUUAUCCAUUUUGUUUAUUACAUCUGAGUUGCAUUAAGAGGCCAGAUCCAGUGAUGAAUCUAAGUUUGUCUAAAUCCACACUUUGACAUUCACACUAGGAUAAAAUAGUCUAGUGACUCAUUUUCCUGAGGCUAUUAUCAUUGUUAAGUGACAAACAGGAAAUGUAAGUAACACACAGAAAUAUUGAAUCUUCUUAAACAUUAGAUUCUUGUCUACAAAACAACAGUGACUUUACCCCCCUUGCAGUACUGCUACCUAGUGUAGUGGGGACACCUUGAGAAGUUCCACCAUCUUGCUAUAAUUAUGCUAUGUUUUGUUGUUACAAUCUUUACUAUUAUCUCCAGUCAUCCACCUAGACUUUGACACUAUAUACUUUUUACAUUUGGCAUUUUGAGUGUACCUUUGUAGCUUAGGGAAGAGCCCUAACUCUAAAGCUGUCCUCAUUUGUAUCCAUAAGUGCCACAGGUUGUAUGUCAUUAUCUGCUAUCACACAUAGUUUCUCUUGAAGAUUGUUUUGAGGUGAGUCUAAAUUUGGGGGGGGGGCAGACUUCGAGUUUCUUCCCCUCACUCUGCUGUUUCCUAUCUCCCAACUAUGCAGAGCACAGAAAAGAGUGACAGGGACUGAGAGCAUGGAAAGGAAAUUGGAAAGUGAUGCCAAAAAGCAGAUGAGUGUAGGGGAACAAUAGAUGUGUGAAACCCUUCAUGUCACCACCAAAGAGGACUCUGAGAUGUGGCCUUUCUUUGUGAAUGAAGGUGGUGCCAUGUGCUUGGGUGAGGGGAAGCCAUAGGUGCCAGGCAAAUGGAUGGAACUAGAAGAAACCAUCCUGAGAUAACCCAUACAGAAAGACAAACAUGGGAUUACUCACUCCUAAGUGGAUAUUAGACAUAGAGCGAAAGAUAACCAGUCUACAAUCCACAACCCCAGAGAAGAUACCUACAAUUUCCUGGGAGAAGUUCUGUUUCUAUAUCAAGGAAUCUGGUUUGAUAAAAUGUCUCCAGAACUCAUUUUUACUCCACCCACUUUUGAGCAUAUCUUGCAUGUUCACCCCCUCCUGCCUGGGCCAAGGUGAGCUCACAGAUGGUCCUCCACAUAAUGCCAGAACCUGCAUCAGUUCCUGAAACUCACCAUUGCAACCUGCCUUCUCUGCUUCCUUGAUGAACAGGCGCCUGAGGUCUAAGGAUGGCAGUUAACUGAAUGCUUCUUCACUCAUACCUCUCACUGAUUGUGAGCCCACCCAACUCCUGACUCUCCCCCUCCCCCACAUCAUCCCUUGUCAUCAGGAAGAAGCCAGACAUGAAGCGGUGUCCAUAUACCUAAGAGUCUGGAAUGUUCUGGUGGAAGCUCACUCUACCUCUGGCAUCCAUACAUCCAAAGAGUCUGGAAUAUUAUGGUGGAAGUUCCACCCCUCAUUUACCUCCCUCCAACCCUGCAGCAUCUCAGAAAGCCUGCCAAAUGAUGGCCCCUCCCCCAGAGAAGCUCAAGACCACUCCCACAGAGUAUUUAAACUGCCCCCCAGAAAAUAGACUCGUGGUUUCCCAGGCUCUGUUUCCGGUCUCCUCUCUGGGAGACUGGAAGGCCAUCCAGGAACAUUGUAUCCAUUAAAUGUGGGCUUUUUCUAAUUCAGUGUGAUUUGGAUUGAUAUGUCAAUGGAGAGAGGCUUAUCUAUCAGGGUGUAGCAAUUUUUCAGCCUUUG